CCGUAGGUGAACCUGCGGAAGGAUCAUUAACGAAUUGUAAUGGGGGUUGAUGCUGGCAAGCUACCUUUUGGCUGCAUGUGCUCGCCUCCAACAAUCUUUAUCCACACACCUGUGCACCUUCUGAGGGUUUUUCGAGUAGAGAUUGCCGUCUGGUGGUCUUUCUUAGAUAUUCCCUCUUUACAUACACUGAUUUCAAUGUUGAACGUGCUCGUGCCGAUAUGGCCGUAAUAAAAUACAACUUUUAACAACGGAUCUCUUGGCUCUCGCAUCGAUGAAGAACGCAGCGAAAUGCGAUAAGUAAUGUGAAUUGCAGAAUUCAGUGAAUCAUCGAAUCUUUGAACGCAUCUUGCGCUCCCUGGUAUUCCGGGGAGCACGCCUGUUCGAGUGUCGCGAAAUUCUCAAGUCGUGGAUACUUUUUGUAAAGUGUUCUCAGCUUGGUUAUUGGGCUUUGCCGUAUCCUUUUGGGAUGGCUGGCCUUAAAAGCAUUAGCUGAUCCUCACGAUGGCAUUGGUUCUACUCAGCGUGAUAAUAAUCUGACCGCCGAGGACAUCUUUCGGGGUGACCAAUUCUCGUUUGGGUUGCUCU
RNAcentral lists this ribosomal RNA (585 nucleotides) under Clavulina sp. YM242. RNAcentral describes it as "eukaryotic LSU rRNA". The stretch from base 237 to 390 matches the Rfam family "5.8S ribosomal RNA". The record is from RNAcentral. Lineage: Eukaryota; Fungi; Basidiomycota; Agaricomycetes; Cantharellales; Hydnaceae.